This 951-nucleotide ribosomal RNA is filed under the name Salmonella enterica. RNAcentral describes it as "partial 23S ribosomal RNA". It matches the Rfam family "Bacterial large subunit ribosomal RNA", at positions 592 to 1547 of the family's 2925-position model. The record is from RNAcentral. Lineage: Bacteria; Pseudomonadati; Pseudomonadota; Gammaproteobacteria; Enterobacterales; Enterobacteriaceae.
UGUGACUGCGUACCUUUUGUAUAAUGGGUCAGCGACUUAUAUUCUGUAGCAAGGUUAACCGAAUAGGGGAGCCGGAGGGAAACCGAGUCUUAAUUGGGCGUUAAGUUGCAGGGUAUAGACCCGAAACCCGGUGAUCUAGCCAUGGGCAGGUUGAAGGUUGGGUAACACUAACUGGAGGACCGAACCGACUAAUGUUGAAAAAUUAGCGGAUGACCUGUGGCUGGGGGUGAAAGGCCAAUCAAACCGGGAGAUAGCUGGUUCUCCCCGAAAGCUAUUUAGGUAGCGCCUCGUGAAUUCAUCUCCGGGGGUAGAGCACUGUUUCGGCUAGGGGGCCAUCCCGGCUUACCAACCCGAUGCAAACUGCGAAUACCGGAGAAUGUUAUCACGGGAGACACACGGCGGGUGCUAACGUCCGUCGUGAAGAGGGAAACAACCCAGACCGCCAGCUAAGGUCCCAAAGUCAUGGUUAAGUGGGAAACGAUGUGGGAAGGCCCAGACAGCCAGGAUGUUGGCUUAGAAGCAGCCAUCAUUUAAAGAAAGCGUAAUAGCUCACUGGUCGAGUCGGCCUGCGCGGAAGAUGUAACGGGGCUAAACCAUGCACCGAAGCUGCGGCAGCGACACUAUGUGUUGUUGGGUAGGGGAGCGUUCUGUAAGCCUGCGAAGGUGGCCUGUGAGGGUUGCUGGAGGUAUCAGAAGUGCGAAUGCUGACAUAAGUAACGAUAAAGCGGGUGAAAAGCCCGCUCGCCGGAAGACCAAGGGUUCCUGUCCAACGUUAAUCGGGGCAGGGUGAGUCGACCCCUAAGGCGAGGCCGAAAGGCGUAGUCGAUGGGAAACGGGUUAAUAUUCCCGUACUUGGUGUUACUGCGAAGGGGGGACGGAGAAGGCUAUGUUGGCCGGGCGACGGUUGUCCCGGUUUAAGCGUGUAGGUGUGUGUUCCAGGUAAAUCCGGUU